AGUGAACGCUGGCGGCGUGCUUAACACAUGCAAGUCGAACGCGAAAGGGUAGCAAUACCCCGGUAGAGUGGCGAACGGGUGAGUAAAAUGUGAGUAAUCUGCCUUUGAGAGGGGGAUAACCUGGCGAAAGCCGGGCUAAUACCCCAUGAAGUUUGGUUGUUUUCGGGCGAUUAGACCAAAGGAUGGCCUCUAUUUAUAAGCUAUCGCUUGAAGAGGAGCUCACAUCCUAUCACGCUUGUUGGUGAGGUAAAGGCUCACCAAGGCGACGACGGGUAGCCGGCCUGAGAGGGUGUCCGGCCACACUGGAACUGAGAUACGGUCCAGACUCCUACGGGAGGCAGCAGUGGGGAAUUUUUCGCAAUGGGCGCAAGCCUGACGAAGCAACGCCGCGUGGAGGAUGAAGGCCCUAGCGGUUGUAAACUCCUGUCUAGCGGGACGAAGGUAUGGCAGUCGAAUAGACUGCGAUAUUGACUGUACCGCUGGAGGAAGC
RNAcentral lists this ribosomal RNA (490 nucleotides) under uncultured bacterium. RNAcentral's name for it is "bacterial SSU rRNA". It matches the Rfam family "Bacterial small subunit ribosomal RNA", at positions 29 to 491 of the family's 1533-position model. The record is from RNAcentral.